RNAcentral lists this ribosomal RNA (407 nucleotides) under uncultured bacterium. RNAcentral's name for it is "partial 16S ribosomal RNA". It matches the Rfam family "Bacterial small subunit ribosomal RNA", at positions 28 to 526 of the family's 1533-position model. The record is from RNAcentral.
GACGAACGCUGGCGGCGUGCCUAAUACAUGCAAGUAGGACGCAGUUGCGAAGGGGUGAGUAACGCGUAGGUAACUACAUAUUAGAGGGGGAUAACUAUUGGAAACGCUAGCUAAUACCGCAUAGUAGUAGAUGGACCUGCGUUGUAUUAGCUAGUAGGUAGGGUAAUGGCCAACCUAGGGAACGAUACAUAGCCGACCUGGGAAGGUGGUCUGGCCCAAUGGGAAUGGGACACGGGCCCAAAUCCCUCGGGAGGCAGGCGUAGGGAAUCUUCGGCAAUGGGGGGAACGCUGACCGAGCAACGCCGCGUGGUUGGAGGAAGUUUUCGGAUCGUAAAGCCCUGUUGUUAAGGAAGCGGUACUUAACCAGAAAGGGACGGCUAACUACGUGCCAGCAGCCGCGGUAAUAC